ACCGAGUUCGGCUCUGGGAAGCCAUCCGGCCUGUAAAGCCGGCGCGCAAGCUGGCGGGGUUCGAUUCCCUGACUCGGUA
This 79-nucleotide transfer RNA is filed under the name Nitrospirota bacterium. RNAcentral describes it as "tRNA-Tyr". It matches the Rfam family "tRNA". Rfam says of the family: Transfer RNA (tRNA) molecules are approximately 80 nucleotides in length. Their secondary structure includes four short double-helical elements and three loops (D, anti-codon, and T loops). Lineage: Bacteria; Pseudomonadati; Nitrospirota. The record is from RNAcentral.